This is a long non-coding RNA of Lycium ferocissimum, 3392 nucleotides long. RefSeq lists it as uncharacterized. Lineage: Eukaryota; Viridiplantae; Streptophyta; Magnoliopsida; Solanales; Solanaceae. The record is from RefSeq and is a predicted model, not a curated record. The transcript has 6 exons.
UCCUUCUCUGCUAAGCCCCUGAUUUUUUUUUUUCCAAAAUUUUGCUUUUCUGCUAGCUACCAUGUUUGUAUUUUCCUAGAAUUAUGAAUAUGUGCUGAAGGAUAUUGUGUUUUUCAGUUUGAAUACCAAACAAAUGGACUCCAAUAAUUGCUUUUUAAGUUUUGCUUUUAUGCUAGUUGGAUGUUUUGUGAUGGUAUACUAGUUGGUGUUAAACAAUGUUAUCAACUUUCUGAGAAUUUGAACUGAUUAUUACCAAAAGAGGAAUAACUUGCUUAAGUCUUGUAAUGGGAGGCCACUGUUGACUGAAGGUCUGUUGUAUUGCUUAGAAAAGGAGGGAAUGAGGUAACAGGCAGAAGGGCAUUUCUAUCAGAGGUUGUUGCCUAUCGCUGCUUUACCGAUUAAUCUCCAUGUUCCAAAAGGCAUUAGCCUUUAUAGAGAGAGAGAGAGAGUAAAUAAAAUCAAUUUCUGGGGUUUCCGUCUGUUUUUGGUUAUGUCUACUGAUCUAAUGGUUCCUUGUUCAUUUCUGCUGGGUUCUUGUUCUUUAAUAUCUUUUUAGUGUCUAGUGCAACUAUUUGGGUUGCUUAUUUUAGGAUCUGAUCGAACUUUCUUGGUGUUUAUGGUUAAAUCUUUUUUUCCUACUGUUUUCAUCAAAUUUAACUUACAUAAAUUGUCAUCAAACAAACAACAGCGCUUGUUUAUGAAAAAGCAAAAACUGGAAAAAACCAAAAAUGAUUUAGCAUAUAUACACUCAGAUCUGUCUUUCAUCUGUGUGUGUGUGUUUUAAUGUGUUGAUGAAUGUGCAUAGAGGCGCAGUGAUGAUUAUGUAGAUCACCCGGGCUAACUAAUUUGGGCAUGGAGAUCACCCGACCCGUAUCUUGGCGUGGCAACCCUGUAUGGCCUGUGAUUGAGACACAUAUCACACACAUGCAUUUGGUGUUUUGCAGUCAUGGCGUGGUUGGCUUCUCUUUUACUACAAUAACAACAACAACAUAUGCAGUGUGGUUUGCUUCUCUUUUGCCUUAGCAUAACACUAAUCUGAGCCUCAAUUUGCUAAAGAAAAUAGGGAAAAGGGUCAAAUUUAUCCCUCUAGUAUGCAAAAAGUGGCAGUAUCUUUUCCAUGAUUCAUGUGGGAGAUAUUGAAUCCACGCCCUUAUCGUUAUUAUUACCUUUUUUUUUAUUUUUUUUUUAUUUUGAAAAUCAUGAAUAUGUGCUGGAGGAUAUUAUGUUUCUCAGUUAUAAAACCAAACAAAUGGACUCCAAUUUUCUGUCUUAAAUUCUUGCCAACCCUACUCUGCUGCUAACUUGUUUAGUUUCCAUCUCUUUUGCUGGAAAAAUCCUCAGUUCUUUGUGAUUAUACAAGCUAAUAUAAGUUGUUUUAUGCUUCCCUUGUGAUAAUAGCUGGGUGUUUUGUGAUGGUAUACUAGUUAGUGUUAAACAUUGUUAUCAACUUUCUGAGAAUUUUAACUGAUUAAUUAGCAAAAAAUGAAAAACUUUCUUGAGUCUUGUAAUGGGAGGCCACUGUUAACUGAAGGUCUGUAGUAUGGCUUGAAAAAAGAGAGAAUGAGGUAACAGGCAGGAAAGAAUGAGAUAAAUAUCUGUCUUUUAAGACAAAAAUAUUUAAUGUCAAAUAAUAAGAAUAUAUAAAAAAGUGUGUGAUAAGAAAUAACCUUAUUAAAAAAGUUCAUGAUAAGAAAAAACUAAUUCUAGAAAAGGUAAUGUACUAACUUAAGCUGUGCGUGCACAAUUUUGCCGAGAUUACAGAGGCCAAAUGAAUUCCACAUUACUAGGCCCAUUUAUCAACAUCCAAACCACUUUAAUGCCCUGCUUGGUUACAAGCCCACGUUACCAGGCUCGGCGGUAAUGUACUUGGAUAUCUUAAAUGACAUUUGAGAUUUUGCUUUUUAUCCUCACCCUUUCAUCUUGUUUGAUCUUCUUUCUUGUUUUGUUUCUUUUGUUGAUGGAUGCUCUGGCCUUACUUCUGCAUCAUAAACAGAAACUGGAAUCCUAAACUCAAGAACAAGAAUGAGGCUGCAUGGGAGAUGAAAAGUUUCUAAGGGUGUUGCCUCCCAUCUGCAUGCCUGUGAUGCCUGUGUUCUGCUACUGUCAAAGCAGCAGCCCUCUUUCAUGCUUAGCUAGCGCUCUCAUGGUUAUUCACAAUCUGCUCUAAAGGGGCUAUGAUGAUGCUUAUAUAUCUUUCUAUUUCUGGGAUGAUCAUUGAGCAUUGAACUGACCUGACCCGUAUCUUGGCGUGGCAAUCGGUUUUUGCAGCCAUGGCGUGGCUGGCUUCUCUUUUGCCUAAUCAUUAUAUGCAUCUGAGCCUCAAUUUGCUGAAGAACGUAAGUAGGCGUUUGGAUAAUAAGCUGAGAAUUCUCUUAGAUGCAGACUAUUGAGCUCAAGAAUGAGGCAUUGGAGUGAAAUGUGGGUUUUUUUCGUAGCGGUGGUUCCCUUUCUUCUCUUGAUGGUAUAUAACUCAUAUACUGGCUUGGCAAAUAACUGGAUUAGCCAGUGAAUUCAGUUGUUCUCUUUCACAUGCAACUCGUGUUUUUGCAGCCAUGGUACCUUCUCAUUGCCUGAUCUUUUCUGCAGAUCUGAGCCUCACAAUUCUUUGGCACCUGCAAUUUUUUAUCCAAAGCACACAUAUUGCGCCAAACUUUUUGCUUAAUCUUUAGUAUUCAAAUAAAAGAAUGAGGAAAUAUGAGAAUUUUUCUUAAGAUAGGUUGUUCUUAGUUUUUAACUUUCCUCUUCCAUGCGAUAAUUAGCUUGAAGUUGGAAGAAUCAUGGCUGAAUGGUACUGUCUAUUACUUUUUUUUUUUUUUUUUUCCUAUGGCUUUGAUUCCCUUUGUGCAUAUCUUCUAUUUUCUUGUUCUUUGUUGCCUUGGCUUUCAGAUUGUUCCUUUGAAGCGGUAGAAGAUGUUUAAACAGCAUUUGCUGGAGUACAUGUAAAAGGGGCUGUGAUGAUCCUUCUAGUACCUUCUAAUUAAUGAGCAUGACGACUAGACCUGUAUCUUGGCUUGGCAACUCAGUGUGGCCUGUGUUAAGGGUUAUGAUCGAGAAUGCGAGCUUCAGGUUUCCGAGAAGAAAAAAGGAUUUUGCACUCCUAAAGUUUCACCAUGCUUGUUGAACUUGUUCCUGUGUGGCUGUGUUUUCAACAAGCAUCGAUCUGAACCGUAGGCAUUGAAGCUCCUCUUAUAACUUACCAGAUAAUUGAAGCUCCCAUUUCUUACUGGUGAUAUUCAUGAAAAAUAUGUAGUUGAUCUCACCUUUCUUUAGCUAUUUCACCUUGAUUUUCAGAAAUAGGCAUGACCUGCUAGCUUGGUUGUCAAAAUUCAUCUUUUAUCAUGUAUCUCCUAGUUUACUAUUUAUAACUAAAUAGUGGCUACUGUCUUUAUUCA